Brienomyrus brachyistius is the source of this 945-nucleotide long non-coding RNA. RefSeq lists it as uncharacterized. The transcript has 3 exons. The record is from RefSeq and is a predicted model, not a curated record. Lineage: Eukaryota; Metazoa; Chordata; Actinopteri; Osteoglossiformes; Mormyridae.
UCUGGUUUUGACCUGGAUUGUUGAUUUUGACUUGUGCUUUUGUAAUAAACCAAUUUCAACCUUUCCACUCCCCUCAGCGUCCUCCUUAUCAUGCACCCUCACACUAAUGAUCUGGCAUGCAGGUACAAUCAGGCACAAGUGGCAGGAGGGAAAGACAUGAGACAAAUUUGGACCCCCUUUGCAUUAUUCGAGAGGAACCAUAUGCCUUUUUAAUUCAAACACCUAGUGCCAUUCAGCACCUUAUGGAGAGAAUAUUGGCUCCCAGAAUUAAAAAUGAUUGUACUUGGUUGAUGUUGUGCUGUUCUCUCUACCACAGUUCCAGAGCACAUGAAGGACUUCGAAGGAGUUCUGAUCAAACUGCAGCAAGAAAAUUUGAAAGCUAAGUUGGAAAAGUAGCCUUUCUUCAAACAGGAUGUAAGAUAUUUAGGGCAUGUUGGAGUUUUUGGCACGGAAAACAACAACAGAGAAUUACUGGGAGUCCUUUUCAGAUCAGAGAAAAAUUGGAAGCAUUGGAACAACUCUGAUUUUGACUACAUCAUCCGCUAUCAACUGGGUGACAGAAUGAGAACGCCAAUCACUUAUCCCAGCAGUUCCUCCCUGAAGUGGUAACAUCAUGGUUGGCAUCUGGUGUUCCUCUGCCUGAAGGGUCACAGCAAGCAGCUGGUGGGGAUCAGUCUGAUGUCAGCCGGAGCUGCCUUUGUGGGGCCUGGGAGCCGGAAAAUUGGGUAAACAGCCUGGUGUGGCGGAGGAAAAGGCCAGAGCCUGAGAGGUGGCCCAGAUCGUGAGCUAACGAGGAGCCCAUCUGCCGAAGCGGCUCCAAGAUGCCAAACAAGAUGUAAGGAGAGGUAUGGAGCAGGGCGAGGUGAGCGCUCAUGCUCAGGGAUAUAUCAGGCUAGUACAUUUAAAAGAUUGAUACUGUAAAUGCCAUCACUUGAUUAGGGAUUU